UACGAGUGCCCCCAAGCGUUAUCCGGAAUCACUGGGCGUAAAGGGUGUGUAGGCGGUCCUGUCCCGACCUAGUCGGGAUUCACUAGUCUUCUGUUAAAGCUCGGAGCUUAACUCCGAAAAUGCAGAGGAAACGGCAGGACUAGAAGGUGUGAGAGGUCUGUGGAACUCAUGGUGUAGGGGUGAAAUCCGUUGAUAUCAUGGGGAACGCCAAAAGCGAAGGCAGCAGACUGGCACACACUUGACGCUGAAACACGAAAGCGUGGGUAGCGAACGGGAUUAGAUACCCC
Molecule: ribosomal RNA, 287 nt
Filed under: uncultured bacterium
Lineage: Bacteria
Description: partial 16S ribosomal RNA
Rfam family: Bacterial small subunit ribosomal RNA
Source: RNAcentral